UACGGAUGAUGCAAGCGUUAUCCGGAUUCAUUGGGUUUAAAGGGUGCGUAGGCGGGCUAUUAAGUCAGUGGUGAAAUCCUGCAGCUUAACUGCAGAACUGCCGUUGAUACUGAUAGUCUUGAGUUUGGUUAAGGUAGGCGGAAUGUGUAAUGUAGCGGUGAAAUGCUUAGAUAUUACACAGAACACCAAUUGUGUAGGCAGCUUACUGAGCCGACACUGACGCUGAGGCACGAAAGCGUGGGGAUCAAACAGGA
Molecule: ribosomal RNA, 254 nt
Filed under: uncultured prokaryote
Description: partial 16S ribosomal RNA
Rfam family: Bacterial small subunit ribosomal RNA
Source: RNAcentral